RNAcentral lists this non-coding RNA (29 nucleotides) under Rattus norvegicus (Norway rat). Lineage: Eukaryota; Metazoa; Chordata; Mammalia; Rodentia; Muridae. The record is from RNAcentral.
UGAGAGGGACUGCAAGACCACUACUGGCA